Molecule: unclassified non-coding RNA, 283 nt
Filed under: uncultured Leucopenicillifer
Lineage: Eukaryota; Fungi; Ascomycota
Description: partial contains 5.8S ribosomal RNA, internal transcribed spacer 2, and large subunit ribosomal RNA
Source: RNAcentral
AACGCAAAUUGCACUCUCCGGUAUUCCGUAGAGUAUGCCUGUUUGAGGGUCAGUUAAAUAAAAAUCGGGGUUGUCGCUACCUUUCGUGGUGACGCUUCGGAAUUGGGCCGUCUUUACCUUUUGGUUAAGUGACCUAAAAGCUUUACGUGAUUUUUCAACGUGUUUAAAUUUUUUUAUACGCGUUUGUAACAUCAAGUAUUAGAUGUGGUCAUUCUCAUAAUUUCGCGUCUAUAAUUUAUCAUCUAAUGACCUCAAAUCAGGUAAGAGUACCCGCUGAACUUAA